GCAGUCGAGCGGCACCUUCGGGUGUAGCGGCGGACGGGUUAGUAACGCGUGGGAACGUGCCCUUUUCUACGGAAUAGCCUCGGGAAACUGAGAGUAAUACCGUAUACGCCCUUCGGGGGAAAGAUUUAUCGGAGAAGGAUCGGCCCGCGUCUGAUUAGGUAGUUGGUGGGGUAAUGGCCUACCAAGCCUACGAUCAGUAGCUGGUUUUAGAGGAUGAUCAGCAACACUGGGACUGAGACACGGCCCAGACUCCUACGGGAGGCAGCAGUGGGGAAUCUUAGACAAUGGGCGCAAGCCUGAUCUAGCCAUGCCGCGUGAGUGAAGAAGGCCUUAGGGUCGUAAAGCUCUUUCGCCAGAGAUGAUAAUGACAGUAUCUGGUAAAGAAACCCCGGCUAACUCCGUGCCAGCAGCCGCGGUAAUACGGAGGGGGUUAGCGUUGUUCGGAAUUACUGGGCGUAAAGCGCACGUAGGCGGAUCAGAAAGUUGGGGGUGAAAUCCCAGGGCUCAACCCUGGAACGGCCUCCAAAACUCCUGGUCUUGAGUUCGAGAGAGGUGAGUGGAAUUCCGAGUGUAGAGGUGAAAUUCGUAGAUAUUCGGAGGAACACCAGUGGCGAAGGCGGCUCACUGGCUCGAUACUGACGCUGAGGUG
RNAcentral lists this ribosomal RNA (649 nucleotides) under bacterium SL4.50. RNAcentral describes it as "bacterial SSU rRNA". It matches the Rfam family "Bacterial small subunit ribosomal RNA", at positions 57 to 753 of the family's 1533-position model. The record is from RNAcentral.